GACAGAGGGGGCAAGCGUUGCUCGGAAUCACUGGGCGUAAAGGGCGCGUAGGCGGGAUGGCAAGUCGGUCGUGAAAUCCUUCGGCUCAACCGAAGAACGUCGGCCGAUACUGCCGUUCUUGAGGGAUGCAGAGGAGAUUGGAAUUCCCGGUGUAGCGGUGAAAUGUGUAGAGAUCGGGAGGAACACCGGUGGCGAAGGCGGCUCACUGGACUGGUAUUGACGCUGAGGUGCGAAAGCGUGGGGAGCAAACAGG
Molecule: ribosomal RNA, 253 nt
Filed under: uncultured bacterium
Lineage: Bacteria
Description: partial 16S ribosomal RNA
Rfam family: Bacterial small subunit ribosomal RNA
Source: RNAcentral